This is an RNA transcript of Boleophthalmus pectinirostris (great blue-spotted mudskipper), 1433 nucleotides long. RefSeq lists it as uncharacterized. The transcript has 6 exons. NCBI's taxonomy places the organism in Eukaryota, Metazoa, Chordata, Actinopteri, Gobiiformes, Gobiidae. The record is from RefSeq and is a predicted model, not a curated record.
CUUUGUGCAGAUCAGUGGUGGUUUAAGGAUGGGCUCUCCUCGGGUCUGGUCUCUGCUCUGCUCCUAUCUCAUCGCUGUCCUCUGGGAAACAACCCAAGGUGUGACUGUGGAAGCUCCAUCCAUCCAUCCAUGGCUCAGAGACUCAGUGACUGUGCGGUGUGUGGGGUCGACUGUAGACAUGACACAGAUGAACCUCUACAAAGAUGACAGAAUGGUGACAGAAGAUCACUCUCAUCAGAUCACAAGGACACACACCACAGUGGAGCUCAACAUCAACUCAGUGUCUGAUACAGAUCAAGGAAGUUACACAUGUGUGAAAAAUGACAAGACAAAAUAUGGUCAGAUACCACUGCGGGUUAUAAGGAGGUUUCGUGAUAUUCCGCUGAAAGCUUCCAGCAGGACUGUUCCAGUCCAGGGCAGUGUGACUCUGGAAUGUUCUGUACAGGGCUUUACAAACUCUCAGUGGCUCAGACGCUCUUCAUUUAAUGCCCCUGACUUUGAAAUACUGAAUGUGCACACAAGUAUUAUCCAUGUAACUCGUGGAGGAGUGUACUCCUGCAGAGGGGAGGAUAAGUUGAUCAUCACUAAAGAAAGUAAUGCAGUCGACAUUUGGGAGACUGGUCGACCUCUGCAGAUGCCUUCAUGGGCCUGUCUCAGAGACUCAGAAUCAGACCAGGGCUGGUACUCCUGUGGGAUCGAUGGAGAAACACUGUACACAGGGCAAAGACUUACAAUAUACACAGGUCUGUAGUGACAAGAGUCUUUCAGUAAUGUUUUUAUGAUGAACCAGAGACUUCAUGGUGUGGUGGGCUGAGGCUGAGAUGUCAAACACAAUGGAUUCAGAAAUAUCAAUGGAUCAGACGAACUUCUGCUCAUACUUCUCACUUUGAGAUCUUAAAUGAAGAUACAGCCACUAUCUCUGUACAUCGUGGAGGUGUGUACUCCUGCAGAGGAAAAGAAGAGCUGAUUCUCACACCUGAAAGUUACUUUGUCACCAUUUGGGAAACUGUGUCAAACAGAGCAGUGGUGCAGCCUGAGUCUGACUGGACAGAGGUGUUUGUUGGAGAGAGUCUGUCUCUCAGGUGUGAGGUGGAGGAUGAAGGAAACACAGAGUGGACUUAUGAAUGGAAUAGGACAGGAGUUAUGUUACCUACAACAGCCAGAGAAUAUGUCCUCUCCAAUGUGUCUGAGUCUGACAGUGGAGACUACAGCUGCAGAGGGACCAGAGGAGCAUAUGAGCAAACACAGUGGAGCCAGGUGACCAAGCUGCAGGUGACCGGUGAGUCCAAUAUGACUGUGGCUAUGUUUACAUGAAGACUUAUUUUAAAAUGUAUUAUACACUGACUUUAAAAUACAACACUUAUGUCAGUGACUCCACAAAUGAACUGGCACAUGUCAUCAGGAGUUUUUGAUGAUACAUUUCUGUUGGGCAU